RNAcentral lists this ribosomal RNA (485 nucleotides) under uncultured bacterium. Its description in RNAcentral is "partial 16S ribosomal RNA". It matches the Rfam family "Bacterial small subunit ribosomal RNA", at positions 27 to 507 of the family's 1533-position model. The record is from RNAcentral.
GAUUGAACGCUGGCGGCAGGCCUAACACAUGCAAGUCGAGCGGAUGAAGGGAGCUUGCUCCUGGAUUCCGCGGCGGACGGGUGAGUAAUGCCUAGGAAUCUGCCUGGUAGUGGGGGAUAACGUCCGUAAACGGGCGCUAAUACCGCAUACGUCCUGAGGGAGAAAGUGGGGGAUCUUCGGACCUCACGCUAUCAGAUGAGCCUAGGUCGGAUUAGCUAGUUGGUGGGGUAAAGGCCUACCAAGGCGACGAUCCGUAACUGGUCUGAGAGGAUGAUCAGUCACACUGGAACUGAGACACGGUCCAGACUCCUACGGGAGGCAGCAGUGGGGAAUAUUGGUCAAUGGGCGAAAGCCUGAUCCAGCCAUGCCGCGUGUGUGAAGAAGGUCUUCGGAUUGUAAAGCACUUUAAGUUGGGAGGAAGGGCAGUAAGUUAAUACCUUGCUGUUUUGACGUUACCAACAGAAUAAGCACCGGCUAACUUCGUG